Molecule: unclassified non-coding RNA, 357 nt
Filed under: Hevea brasiliensis (rubber tree)
Lineage: Eukaryota; Viridiplantae; Streptophyta; Magnoliopsida; Malpighiales; Euphorbiaceae
Source: RNAcentral
GAUCCAUACUGUUGUCGGUGCAGGUUUUAAGUUGCUUCAUACCACUGAAAUAAUUAGCUGUGAUAUGAAUGCACUAUUAGAAAUGGUAUAGAAUGUGUAUGGGUAGGUGCCUUACCGGGCUUAUGCAUGCUUCUUGCUUCUGAAAUAAUCAACUGUGAUGUGAAUGUACUAUUAGAAAUGGUAGUUAUAGACACUUCCCAUACAACAUGUGUAUGGGUGGAUGGAUGGGUGCAUGUCAUUAUGGUUAAUCAUACAUUACUGGGCUUGCACAUGCUAGAAGCGACUUCUCAAUAGGUUUAUCAUAUCGUAAUGAUUGUGAAAUUCAUUUAUUCUUAUUCAACUCAACUAAGCCUUUAU